AUGUGGUUAAUCGAUGAUACGCGAGGAACCUUACCUGGGCUUAAAUGUAGAGUGCAUUUUUAGAGAUAGAAAUCCCUUCGGGGCUUUCUGCAAGGUGCUGCAUGGUUGUCGUCAGCUCGUGCCGUGAGGUGUCGGGUUAAGUCCCAUAACGAGCGCAACCCUUAUCGUUAGUUGCCAGCUGGUAAAGCAGGGGACUCUAGCGAAACUGCCACCGUAAGGUGAGAGGAAGGUGGGAUGACGUCAAAUCAGCACGGCCCUUAUGUCCAGGGCUACACACGUGUUACAAUGGCCGGCACAGAGGGCAGCUACCUGGUGACAGGAUGCUAAUCUCGAAAACCGGUCUCAGUUCGGAUCGAAGUCUGCAACUCGACUUCGUGAAGCUGGAUUCGCUAGUAAUCGCGCAUCAGCCAUGGCGCGGUGAAUACGUUCCCGGGCCUU
This 438-nucleotide ribosomal RNA is filed under the name uncultured Sphingobacteriales bacterium. RNAcentral's name for it is "bacterial SSU rRNA". It matches the Rfam family "Bacterial small subunit ribosomal RNA", at positions 939 to 1382 of the family's 1533-position model. Lineage: Bacteria; Pseudomonadati; Bacteroidota; Sphingobacteriia; Sphingobacteriales. The record is from RNAcentral.